Molecule: ribosomal RNA, 301 nt
Filed under: uncultured bacterium
Lineage: Bacteria
Description: partial 16S ribosomal RNA
Rfam family: Bacterial small subunit ribosomal RNA
Source: RNAcentral
CAGCCGCCGCGGGAAUACGAAGGGGGCUAGCGUUGUUCGGAAUUACUGGGCGUAAAGCGCGCGCAGGCGGUUUUCCAAGUCAGUGGUGAAAGCCCGGAGCUCAACUCCGGAACUGCCAUUGAAACUGUUAAACUUGAGGACGAGAGAGGUGAGUGGAAUUCCCAGUGUAGAGGUGAAAUUCGUAGAUAUUGGGAAGAACACCGGUGGCGAAGGCGGCUCACUGGCUCGUAUCUGACGCUCAGGCGCGAUAGCGUGGGGAUCAAACAGGAUUAGAUACCCGGGUAGUCCCUGUCUCUUAUAC